Non-coding RNA from Schistosoma mattheei, 45 nucleotides. Lineage: Eukaryota; Metazoa; Platyhelminthes; Trematoda; Strigeidida; Schistosomatidae. The record is from Rfam.
AUCCAGUUGACGAGUCCCAAAUAGGACGAAAGGUGGGUUCUGGAU